GGGGACGUAAGGCUUUCGACAGAAGUCAUAGGGGCUGUUUGUCACAAAUCGUUUUUUAGUUCGUAAAACUAAAGCACAGAUAAGUGUAGAAAACAAACUUAACGCUUUUGCAAGUAAGCUAAGGGCUGCAUUCACUGCACCUUUAUAUGCUUACAAUUUUGCUUAAGUCUAGCUGAUUAAGUUCGGUUAGUGUCUAACACUUCUAUCUCUAGUUAGUGUGUUAGAUAGUCGUUACUAGGGUAUAGCUACUAUCUCUUGUCAGUAGGGGAUAUUAGUUGAAUACAAUUACUGAGCAAACAGAGUUUUUUGUUAGAUUUUUAGCUUUGUUUGGCUAUAUAAAUCUAAAUACAUUUGUAUAUGGCACAGUUCUUAACUUUUGGACGUGGGUUCGAAUCCCACCGUCUCCACCA
RNAcentral lists this transfer-messenger RNA (410 nucleotides) under Candidatus Dojkabacteria. Its description in RNAcentral is "UBA5209 sp002840365 Standard tmRNA". It matches the Rfam family "transfer-messenger RNA". Rfam says of the family: Bacterial tmRNA, also known as 10Sa RNA or SsrA, is named for its dual tRNA and mRNA-like properties. Its role is to liberate the mRNA from a stalled ribosome. The record is from RNAcentral. RNAcentral also lists the same sequence under 1 other name.